GACGAACGCUGGCGGCGUGCUUAACACAUGCAAGUCGAACGAAAAGAGGGAAAGAGCCUGCUCUUUCCGGAAUUGAGUGGCAAACGGGUGAGUAACACGUAAGCAACCUGCCUUCAGGAUGGGGACAACAGACGGAAACGACUGCUAAUACCGAAUAAGUUCCAAGAGCCGCAUGGCCCAUGGAAGAAAAGGUGGCCUCUACCUGUAAGCUAUCGCCUGAAGAGGGGUUUGCGUCUGAUUAGCUGGUUGGAGGGGUAACGGCCCACCAAGGCGACGAUCAGUAGCCGGUCUGAGAGGAUGAACGGCCACACUGGAACUGAGACACGGUCCAGACUCCUACGGGAGGCAGCAGUGGGGAAUCUUCCGCAAUGGGCGAAAGCCUGACGGAGCAACGCCGCGUGAGUGAUGACGGCCUUCGGGUUGUAAAACUCUGUGAUCCGGGACGAAAAGGCAGAGUGCGAAGAACAAACUGCAUUGACGGUACCGGAAAAGCAAGCCACGGCUAACUACGUG
This 513-nucleotide ribosomal RNA is filed under the name uncultured bacterium. Its description in RNAcentral is "partial 16S ribosomal RNA". It matches the Rfam family "Bacterial small subunit ribosomal RNA", at positions 28 to 507 of the family's 1533-position model. The record is from RNAcentral.